GACGAACGCUGGCGGCGUGCUUAACACAUGCAAGUCGAACGGAAAGGCCCUGCUUUUGUGGGGUGCUCGAGUGGCGAACGGGUGAGUAACACGUGAGUAACCUGCCCUUGACUUUGGGAUAACUUCAGGAAACUGGGGCUAAUACCGGAUAGGAUCUCCUGCUGCAUGGUGGGGGUUGGAAAGUUUCGGCGGUUGGGGAUGGACUCGCGGCUUAUCAGCUUGUUGGUGGGGUAGUGGCUUACCAAGGCUUUGACGGGUAGCCGGCCUGAGAGGGUGACCGGACAAAUUGGGACUGAGAUGCGGCCCAGCCUCCUACGGGAGGCAGCAGUGGGGAAUAUUGCACAAUGGGCGGAAGCCUGAUGCAGCAACGCCGCGUGCGGGAUGACGGCCUUCGGGUUGUAAACCGCUUUCGCCUGUGACGAAGCGUGAGUGACGGUAAUGGGUAAAGAAGCACCGGCUAACUACGUG
This 468-nucleotide ribosomal RNA is filed under the name uncultured bacterium. RNAcentral describes it as "partial 16S ribosomal RNA". It matches the Rfam family "Bacterial small subunit ribosomal RNA", at positions 28 to 507 of the family's 1533-position model. The record is from RNAcentral.